CGUAGGAAAGGUUUUCAUCUUUAGCUCACAAUCUGUGAAUAAUAUACGAUUAGAAAGGUUAAAAAAUGAUUUUAAACAUCACAGCACAAUUGAAAAAUAUAUGGGACAUGGAAACCAAACGAGGGUGGUCUAUCGUGAUAGAUGGGAUGGGCUGAGGGGCGGGAAUAAAGAGCUGAGGUCUAUGGUGAUAGGUGGGAUGGGCUGAGAGUGGCUGAGGGGGUGGGAUUAAAGAGCUGAGGUCUAUGGUGAUAGAUGGAAUGGGCUGAGAGUGGCUGACGGGCGGGAUUAAAGAGCUGAGGUCUAUGGUGAUAGGUGGGAUGGGCUGAGAGUGGCUGAGGGGGUGGGAUUAAAGAGCUGAGGUCUAUGGUGAUAGGUGGAAUGGGCUGAGAGUGGCUGAGGGGGUGGGAUUAAAGAGCUGACAUCUAUGGUGAUAGGUGGGAUGGGCUGAGAGUGGCUGAGGGGCGGGAUUAAAGAGCUGAGGUCUAUGGUGAUAGGUGGGAUGGGCUGAGAGUGGCUGAGGGGCGGGAUUAAAGAGCUGAGGUCUAUGGUGAUAGGUGGGAUGGGCUGAGAGUGGCUGAGAGGCGGGAUUAAAGAGCUGAGGUCUAUGGUGAUAGGUGGGAUGGGCUGAGAGUGGCUGAGGGGACGGGAUUAAACAGCUGAGGUCUAUGGUGAUAGAUGGGAUGGGCUGAGAGUGGCUGAGGGGCG
This is a long non-coding RNA of Oncorhynchus tshawytscha (Chinook salmon), 705 nucleotides long. NCBI's taxonomy places the organism in Eukaryota, Metazoa, Chordata, Actinopteri, Salmoniformes, Salmonidae. The record is from Ensembl.